AACGAACGCUGGCGGCACGCUUAACACAUGCAAGUCGAACGAACUCUUCGGAGUGAGUGGCAGACGGGUGCGUAACACGUGGGAACCUACCCUGUAGUACGGAAUAACAGUUAGAAAUGACUGCUAAUACCGUAUACGCCCUUCGGGGGAAAGAUUUAUCGCUAUAGGAUGGGCCCGCGGCUGAUUAGUUUGUUGGUGGGGUAAUGGCCUACCAAGACUACGAUCAGUAGCUGGUCUGAGAGGAUGAUCAGCCACACUGGAACUGAGACACGGUCCAGACUCCUACGGGAGGCAGCAGUGGGGAAUAUUGGACAAUGGGCGAAAGCCUGAUCCAGCGAUGCCGCGUGAAUGAUGAAGGCCUUAGGGUUGUAAAAUUCUUUCGACGGUGAAGAUAAUGACGGUAACCGUUAAAGAAGUCCCGGCUAAUUUCG
RNAcentral lists this ribosomal RNA (431 nucleotides) under uncultured Alphaproteobacteria bacterium. Its description in RNAcentral is "bacterial SSU rRNA". It matches the Rfam family "Bacterial small subunit ribosomal RNA", at positions 29 to 505 of the family's 1533-position model. The record is from RNAcentral. Lineage: Bacteria; Pseudomonadati; Pseudomonadota; Alphaproteobacteria.